RNAcentral lists this ribosomal RNA (459 nucleotides) under uncultured bacterium. Its description in RNAcentral is "partial 16S ribosomal RNA". It matches the Rfam family "Bacterial small subunit ribosomal RNA", at positions 338 to 795 of the family's 1533-position model. The record is from RNAcentral.
CCUACGGGAGGCAGCAGUGAGGAAUAUUGGUCAAUGGGCGCGAGCCUGAACCAGCCAAGUCGCGUGAGGGAAGACGGCCCUAUGGAUUGUAAACCUCUUUUGUCGGGGAGCAAAAGGCGCCACGUGUGGCGUUAUGCGAGUACCCGAAGAAAAAGCAUCGGCUAACUCCGUGCCAGCAGCCGCGGUAAUAGGGAGGAUGCGAGCGUUAGCCGGAUUUAUUGGGUUUAAAGGGUGCGUAGGGGGAAGUUCAAGUCAGCGGUAAAAUUGUGGGGCUAAACCUUAUCGGGGCAUUGAGACUGGUAUUCUUGAGUACAUGAGAGGUAGGCGGAAUGCGUGGUGUAGCGGUGAAAUGCAUAGAUAUCACGAAGAACUCCGAUUGCGAAGGCAGCAUACCGGCGCGCAACUGACGCUGAUGCACGAAAGUGUGGGUAUCGAACAGGAUUAGAUACCCGGGUAGUC